GAUGAACGCUGGCGGCGUGCCUAAUACAUGCAAGUCGAGCGAAAAGAUGAGGAGCUUGCUCCUCUGACGUUAGCGGCGGACGGGUGAGUAACACGUGGAUAACCUACCUAUAAGACUGGGAUAAAUUCGGGAAACCGGAGCUAAUACCGGAUAAUAUAUUGAACCGCAUGGUUCAAUAGUGAAAGACGGCUUUGCUGUCACUUAUAGAUGGACCCGGGCCGCAUUAGCUAGUUGGUAAGGUAACGGCUUACCAAGGCAACAAUGCGUAGCCGACUUGGGAGGGGGCACGCCCCCACAGAAGCUGAACCCCGUCCCAGCCUCCUAGGGAAGGCCGCGAUAGGAAAUCUUCCGCAAUGGGGGAAACCCUGACGAAGCAGCGCCAGGUGGGUGAAGAAGCUCUUCGUUUCGUAAACUCUGUUAUUAGGGAAGAACAAAUGUGUAAGUAACUAUGCACGUCUUGACGGUACCUAAUCAGAAAGCCACGGCUAACUACGUG
RNAcentral lists this ribosomal RNA (496 nucleotides) under uncultured bacterium. Its description in RNAcentral is "partial 16S ribosomal RNA". It matches the Rfam family "Bacterial small subunit ribosomal RNA", at positions 28 to 507 of the family's 1533-position model. The record is from RNAcentral.